Bombus huntii is the source of this 3571-nucleotide long non-coding RNA. RefSeq lists it as uncharacterized. The record is from RefSeq and is a predicted model, not a curated record. The transcript is spliced from 3 exons. NCBI's taxonomy places the organism in Eukaryota, Metazoa, Arthropoda, Insecta, Hymenoptera, Apidae.
AACGAUCACUAUAUCUGAUUCUUAAUGGAAAUAAAUUUUUGUUCAUUAAUUCGUUUUUUUAAUCUUUGAUUAGAUGAGAUUAUACUCGUAGAUGAAUGUUCUCAACGGGGACAGUGGGUCGACAAUCUGUAAACGUUUCUCAACUUUGCCGUGACUACAUAUGAAGUGUACAAAUACUAAUAUUAUUGUGUCUUAGCCGCAUUUCGUCCUCAAUUUCACUUAAGUACACAAUAUUAAUGCUUGUGCAAAACCUGAAUACUUUUUAUACUCGUAGAAUAUUAUGAUUAGAUUAUUUAAUGUAGUAGAAUAGAGUAUCUUUUACAUCUCUGUUGAAAAAACUAUAUCCGAAUUUUAUAUAAUAUUUAUGUAUUGUUUAUGGUCCAAAGAUUGAAUGCUGAAUGUUAAUUAAGCUUUGUAUUACAAUUAGCCAAUUCAUAGAAAAUGGAUCCAUCCAAGGAUAUAUUGAGCAAUAUUAACAAUAUUAACAGUAUUAUCAAAAUAGAAAAAUUACAAAAAUAUUAUAAUACAUUUAAUACAGAAUUAAAACAUGCUGAUAUUGUAAUAUAUAUACGUACACACAUAUUUAUAACUUUUUCUUAAUAAUUUUUUUUCAUUACAAUAGUAAUAUGAAACAUUCGCACAUAUCUACAAUAAUUCUUCUUUUUCUAUAUAUUUUUAUUAAAAAUAUCAAUUUCCAUAACUGACAAUAAAUAAUAUCUUUAUUUUCAGAUUAACUUUAAAGUCUGCAUGAACACUUGGAUACCCAUACGUUUCACCACAGAUAUGUUCCCAUCGUAACACCUCAUAAUGAUUUGGGGACUGGAGAAUCCUCUAAUUAUGACGACGCGGAUCUAAUGGAAACUGAUUGCGUUACGUGGACAGGACAACGUGACGUUUUUUUUUCUUAAUCCAACAUUAAUCGUUGCUCGUUGAAGUAACCGUUCAAAUAAAUUGACCCGCAGGAAUUCCGGUCGCUUUAACGAGCGAGUUAGGGGGUAGAUCAAUUAAACGUUAUGAAACGAUGCCGUUCCUUUGCCAGGCGUGUAUCCGUCAUGUCCAUGACAAGGAUUUACCUUGACAUGCCAGACGUUCAUGACCAACGCAUUUUAUUUCUUUUUUUCUCCUUGACAUAUUGAUCAAACGUUCUACUUUGUUUGUUGCGUUGUAAUUUAUCCGGUAAGGAUAUAAGACUAUCAACAUUUAAAUGUAUCAUCUUUAAACUGUCACUUAACUCCGAUAACGCAAAAUUAAUUUCCAUUCAUGAUUGCAUUUUUAUUUAUACUAAUUAAAACCAAUUGUUACAUUUAUCAAUAUUUAUUAACUGUAUACAGUUGCCUGGGAUAAGAUUAGAAGCAAAAAUUGGAUUAAAGAACUUCGUUUAAAGUACCAAGACAUACCCAAGUACUUACGCAUCUAUCAGUAUGGAAGAUUACAGUUCAGUUCAGUUCAAGAUGUUUAUUGAGAGAUAGAGAAAUUAUUUUUAGAAUAGCAAGAUACUACAAGAUAAAUGACAAUUGAAGGUAUUAAUAAAUAUGACUACGUGCAUUUGCAUGUCCAUCAACAAUCAUCUUCUUAAGCUGGCAAGGCAAUCAGACCAGAGAAGGUCCAUGAAUCAAUCCUUGUGUACAUCAAAUUGAUCUAGUCCCCUUUGUAUUUUUGUGUAAUUUACUUUGUAACUUAAAUAAUGUAAUAUUCAUAUAUGUCAUAGCAAAAUACAUGAGUUUUUUUGCCACGUACUUCUUUUAUACUUCUUUAAUAUCAUCUACAGGCCAAUGACGAUUCUAUCGACACUAUCACCAUCAAACCAUUCACGCAAUAGAAUAAUACUCAUUGCAGCGAGACAAUGCAAAAGCACUUACUGUCGAUUUACAAAAAUCGAAACGUCCAAAUCAAAAGCGUCCACUAGACACUGUAGCGAAGAUCUCAAGUUCUCCGGAUCACAUCUAGAUCUAUUCAAACCCCGUAAAAAAUCGAAAACUUCUACAUUAUAUAAAAAUAAAAAUUCAAACUUAACAUGUACAUAAAAUUGCAAAUUUCUCUAUUAAAAAACGCACAAUCUUCUUUUAGCUUCGAGAAGUAGAAGAAAAUCUUGAAUAGAGGAUCGCGAGCAGAGGAUCACUCGAUAUCUAAGGUUUGAAAUCGAGGAAAGAACACCCGAAGUAGUGACUUGGAGGAUCGCCGAUCGACUAAUGCUGCUUCACCUUUCUAGAGAAUCGCUUUCAAAGAUCGUUCCAAGGACGACAAUCAUCGUAAGGUCGCUGGUAGAUAAGGAACAAAGACCGAAUCGUUUUGAAGGCUCCGCAUCCACUGCCCUUCUCCCUGACGCGUCGAAAUCGCGAAGGAGAUCGAAAAAUAAAAGCGGAGAUGAGACGCUGGAAGACGAGGGCGAUGAACGAACUUGCGAAUCCCUGUUGCGAGUCAUUAGAAACUUAAUACUUAAAUGAUUUUAAAUGGCUUUUAAGUAACCUUCGGAGAUUGACGUGAAUGUAAAUUAUCGUUUUCUGUGCCUACGUUCUUUAUUUGUCUAUGCAAAGAAGAAUAUGAAACGUGGAAAGACCUUUAGAUACUUUGUAUGUUGUUGUUUACAGAAAUUAAUUGUCAGAUAGGCCAAAGACGAUCGAAUUAAAUACGUGACGAACUUUCCGAACGACUUAAUAAUUGGAUCGAAGUCAGUGAUUUUUAGUGAAGUCAUUCAAUUUUAUUCUAUUUUAUUAUUGAUUUUAAAAAUUGUUCAUCCUAUCUUGUCAAUUAUAUCGGUAUAGGACCAUUUUUUGCACUAUAUAUAAUAUAUGAUUAAAACGGAUAUUUAUGUUGUAUCAUUCUAACUGCUAAAUUCAUUUCCAGAUUAAUUUGGAACAUGACCAAUGUCUCGUUACAAUGCUGAUGAUAUUUCAAAAUAUUUUAUACGACACGUACGAUAUGCACAUAAAAAUUUUAUACUGUAAGUGUGGAAAUAUCUUCAUGAGCCACUGUAAGUAAUAACGUCAAAUGGAUAAAUCGACGAGGAUUGGUAUCAUUCAACGACACAGUCCAUUCGAUCGACAGAAAUUUAAUCUAAUUAGCGCGAUUAGACCGUCCCAGUUCAGACAGUCGAGCGAAAUCCUACGAGCCUCACGCGAGAAUCAUCAACCCUAUAUAGCGAAAUUGAGCCGGAAUCUGGGUCAGCCGGUCUCGUUGACGAACUUGUCUCUUGAACCUGCGCCAAUUCACACCGAAUAGCUCUAUGAUCAACUGGCUAUAAACAUUACUAAGGAUUACAACAGAAAUUGUGCAUUUACAAAAUUAAAUGGAAAAAAAAUCGUAACAUAAUAACCGUUCACUUAUUAAUUAUAACCCAAUUAGAAAGAAGACGUGCAAAUAAUUCUCCAUCCACAAAAGCAAAUGUCAAGGAAUUUACUCUAUUGCUCAGAAGUAUUUGGAUUGCAUAUUUUUGUCAAAAUUGAAGUAUUGCUUUUGUCCUUUAGUUUCUCAUUAAUUUAUACAUUUUAUUAACAUUUAUGUACUGUUGCUAUAAAAGUAUCCAGCUACUUAUGAGCAACAGUGUAUUUAGGAAAACCUACCCUGCCUCCAC